RNAcentral lists this ribosomal RNA (449 nucleotides) under uncultured bacterium. RNAcentral describes it as "partial 16S ribosomal RNA". It matches the Rfam family "Bacterial small subunit ribosomal RNA", at positions 29 to 523 of the family's 1533-position model. The record is from RNAcentral.
AACGAACGCUGGCGGCAUGCCUAACACAUGCAAGUCGAACGAGACCUUCGGGUCUAGUGGCGCCCGGGUGCGUAACGCGUGGGAAUCUGCCCUUCGGUUGGGAAUAACUGAGAGAAAUUUCAGCUAAUACCUUAUAAUGUCUUCGGACCAAAGAUUUAUCGCCGAGGGAUGAGCCCGCGUAGGAUUAGGUAGUUGGUGGGGUAAUGGCCUACCAAGCCGACGAUCCCUAGCUGGUCUGAGAGGAUGAUCAGCCACACUGGGACUGGGACACGGCCCAGACUCCUACGGGAGGCAGCAGUGGGGAAUAUUGGACAAUGGGCGAAAGCCUGAUCCAGCAAUGCCGCGUGAGUGAUGAAGGCCUUAGGGUUGUAAAGCUCUUUUACCCGGGAUGAUAAUGACAGUACCGGGAGAAUAAGCUCCGGCUAACUCCGUGCCAGCCGCCGCGGUAA